Musa acuminata AAA Group (dessert banana) is the source of this 1865-nucleotide long non-coding RNA. RefSeq lists it as uncharacterized. The record is from RefSeq and is a predicted model, not a curated record. The transcript is spliced from 5 exons. NCBI's taxonomy places the organism in Eukaryota, Viridiplantae, Streptophyta, Magnoliopsida, Zingiberales, Musaceae.
GGUGGGCUGUGUGCGGGCGCCGGGAGGAAUCCCGGGCAGCCGAGAGGACGGGACGGGUAGCUGCCCGUCCUGCCCGUGAUGGGCGUCUCCGCUCUAUAAAUCGCAGUAUUGUGCUAUGGAACGCAGUUUGCCGAUUUGGCUCCUCGCUUUUGUUUAAGAUCUGAAGAAACCUUAAAGAAACUAAAAAAGAUGGCAUCCAACUUCGUGGCCAAUGGCGAUGAGAUCAACGAGCAGCACCACGACUACCACCAUCACCACGGCCACCACCACCAGGCGCCGUCGCCGCGUGGUCAGGCGCCGUCACCGCGCGGGGUUCGGCGGGCGUUGUCCUCGAACUCAGCGGCCUGCGGCCAGGGCGCCGCCGGCGGGUCGAUCCCCAAGUGCGUGUGUGCUCCCGCCACCCAUGCGGGUUCCUUCAAGUGCCGCCUCCACAGGACGAACUCCCACGGCCACUCGCCGCCCUCCCCAACGUCGAUCCCUCCUCCUCCGGCACCCGUGAACUCAUCCCGCACCCCUACCGUGGAAGCUCAGUGACCACAAAGAGGAUCGGCGAUUCCCGAUGGCUUUGGAGGGAUUCUUAAUUUGGUAUCUUUGUUGUCUCAUCCACCCAACCCUAUUCUUCCGCUGCUUCCCCCUUUUUAUGUAUGGAGGUGAGAGAGAGAGAGAGAGAGAGAGAGAGAGAGAGUUCUGUGUGUUCUUGGGGUGUACUAGUUGUUCUUGUAAAUAUGAUCUGUUUCUAUGAUCUAAAGCCAAAAAAAAAAAAAAAGAUAAAAAGGUGGUGUUGUGAUCUGUGCUUGCUUGAUCUGAUCACAACCAAGAAUUGGGUUCACAAAGCUACUGUAAGAAAUCAAGGAAUUAUUGUGUGUUUUUUGCAUCCAAGCAACAGGAUUGCUUUCAGUGACGAAGAUGAUUGUCUCCAGCAUAUUAAUGAAUUGCCUGUAUUCUGAUCAAGCAAUUGGCUGCUGGUGAUUGGAGUCAUCCACCGCCUACCCAAUUUUACCCAGGGAUGGGUUGUUGUCAUCAAGAAGCCCCGAGAAACCUGUGAAACUAUCCACAACGAAUCUUCCUGAUCAAAAGUUGCAACUCCUACAGAUCCACAGUGCAAAAGGAGGAGGAAAAGUGGCACGAGCCCUUUGAUUGCCUGUCUUCACGGGAUGCCAAUGCCUCAUCAAGUGGAAAAGCUUACGACAGCCAAGCCUUUCCGUCAGCGGUGGGUUGUUUCUGCUGCUGCUCCUCCUCCUCCUCCUCCUCCUCGUGGAUUUACCUCGAACAGUUUGUCUUCAUGCAGCCAGCUCCUGGGAGACAUGCAUGCAGCAAGGAGUGAGGAGGCCUGCCCAUGGGCCUCCUUAAGCUAGCUGAUGUACAGUAUAUCAUAUACAUCGACUCUCGUAACUUGAAAUUAUGUUCUCAUUAAACUGCAGGCUACAUGACCCUACUUGUGAUCUUUCUCAAAUCUCCUGCACCCGAGGACCCAAAGUCAAACCAAUCGUGGCUCGGUGGGAGGUCGACGUCGUUGGGCGUGUAGUGCGCGGCUGGACUGGUGGGUCUCACCCACUUGGCCGCACAUGUUCGUUCCAUUUUUCCCUUGAGGUAUGGUUCCUCUCUCUAUCCACGUGGUGAUGGAUGGAGUUGAUUAGAUUGCUGCACUCUUUAGGUCGCGCCCAUCAUCCGCAUCACAACCCUUGGAGGGUCUUGUCAUGUUCAGAAUCCUAGAAUGUAAAGCAUUGCAUUGCAAAUUUGGUAUUUCAAGUGGAACUUGUGAAAUAGGAGGCGUCUGAGGAUACUCCAAUAAAGGAUGCAAGGAGAGAAGGAAGUUCGAAGGAUGCUAAAGAUUUAUAUGAGGAAUGCAGCAUAUGCUUUAUGAA